Homo sapiens (human) is the source of this 1192-nucleotide long non-coding RNA. RefSeq lists it as uncharacterized. The transcript is spliced from 4 exons. Lineage: Eukaryota; Metazoa; Chordata; Mammalia; Primates; Hominidae. The record is from RefSeq and is a predicted model, not a curated record.
AUCUCAGCAUUCCGGGCCUUUUAUAAGUUUUCACCAAAUUAUUUUUCCACAGUCAUCUGCCAUUUGAAACCUUUCUACUUGAACCAAAUUUAUAUUCUCACAUGUCUGGAAUACUGCUGCUUCUGAUCCUUUGCUCAAGCUGGGCCCCAACCAUGUGUUUCUUCUAAAAGAAGAAUUGAUCAAGGGAAAACAGCCAACUUCAGAAUGUUUUAAAUCUACAUUACAUACUGUCAAAAUAACUUUUAAAUAUAUGCAAAACUGAAUAUUUGCAAUUCAAAACAAGAGCACAUAAGGGGGAAGGAGAACAUGCUUCCAUUUCAUAUAAAUCACAUUAGAAAGAAGUUAUUUGGAUUAUCCAUAUUUUAACAGACUCACAGAGAAAUGUGUGGCAGAGUGGAAUCAGAAGUGGAACCUGAAGAUGGGACUGGGACUGAAUUACUGCAAUCUCAUAAUAAAACUUAAACAGAUGAGGAGCUGCUUCUUAUAGAUGAGCAAAGAGUAGUUUCUUCAGAUGGAAUCUACUCCUGGUGAAGAUGUUGUGAACAUUGUUGAAAUCACAACAAAUGAUUUAGAAUAUUACAUAAACUUAGUUGAAAAAGCAAUGGCAGGGUUUGAGAGGAUUGACUACAAUUUUGAAAGCUGUCCUACAGUGGGUAAAAUGCUAUCAAAUAGCAUCGCAUGCUACAAAGAAGUCUUUCAUGAAAGGAAGACUCAAAUUCCUUGCGGGAAACAUCUUUGUUGUUUGCCACCCCAACCUUCCGCAACCACUGCCCUGAUCAGUCAGCAGCCUUCAAAUUGUGGUUAAGGUCACCAAACCAAGCGGAUGCCUGGCUUGGGUUUUUGACAGUGGAGUCAGCGACAACAAAGACAACGGAUAAUUAGAGUUCAUUCAAACAUCCUUUGAGAUUUCCAGUAAAUCAUGGAAUUAAAAAAAAAAAGAAAUUACAGAUACAGUAAGAAAAGAAAAAGAGAAGAAAAAACAGUAGAUAAGCCACGCAAAAGUCUUCCUACCAAGAAUCAAGUUCAAAUGACUCAGCUGGUCAAUUUACUAAGACUCUUGUUCGGGAACAAGAAUCAAAGACUUAGAGAUGAUCAGUAACCUGGAGAAGUUAUACAGCAAGAAAAUCUACAUCAUGGAUUUCCCUGUAGAGUCAUGAGACAGGAAUGUGCAAAGCCAAAAGAGACAGCUGGG